UACGUAGGGGGCAAGCGUUGUCCGGAAUCAUUGGGCGUAAAGAGCGUGUAGGCGGCCCGGUAAGUCCGCUGUGAAAGUCCAGGGCUCAACCCUGGGAUGCCGGUGGAUACUGUCGGGCUCGAGUCCGGAAGAGGAGUGUGGAAUUCCUGGUGUAGCGGUGAAAUGCGCAGAUAUCAUGAGGAACACCAAUUGCGAAGGCAGCUCGCUGGGACGUUACUGACGCUGAGACGCGAAAGCGUGGGGAGCAAACAGG
Molecule: ribosomal RNA, 253 nt
Filed under: uncultured bacterium
Lineage: Bacteria
Description: partial 16S ribosomal RNA
Rfam family: Bacterial small subunit ribosomal RNA
Source: RNAcentral